GACGAACGCUGGCGGCGGGCUUAACACAUGCAAGUCGAACGGAAAGGCCCUGCUUUUGCGUGGUGCUCGCGUGGCGAACGGGUGUGUAACACGUGAGUAUCCUGCCCUUGACGGUGGGAUAACUGCAGGAAACUGCGGCUAAUACCGGAUAGGAGCUCCUGCUGCAGGGUGGGGGUUGGAAAGCUUCGGCGGUUGGGGAUAGACUCCCGGCUAAUCAGCUUGUUGGUGGGGUAGUGGCUUACGAAGGGUUUGACGGGUAGCCGGCCCGGGAGGGUGGCCAGCGUCAAUAGGACUGCGAGACGGAGCAGAGUCCUACGGGAGGCAGCAGUCGGGAAUAUGGCACAAUGGGGGGAAGCGUGAUGAGGCAGCGCCCCGAGCGGGAUGACGGCCUUGUGGUUGUAAACCGCUUUAGGCUGUGACGAAGCGGGAGUGACGGUAAUAGCUAAAGAAGCACCGGCUAACUACGUG
This 468-nucleotide ribosomal RNA is filed under the name uncultured bacterium. RNAcentral's name for it is "partial 16S ribosomal RNA". It matches the Rfam family "Bacterial small subunit ribosomal RNA", at positions 28 to 507 of the family's 1533-position model. The record is from RNAcentral.